This 77-nucleotide transfer RNA is filed under the name Candidatus Nanopelagicales bacterium. RNAcentral describes it as "tRNA-Val". It matches the Rfam family "tRNA". From Rfam's summary of the family: Transfer RNA (tRNA) molecules are approximately 80 nucleotides in length. Their secondary structure includes four short double-helical elements and three loops (D, anti-codon, and T loops). Lineage: Bacteria; Bacillati; Actinomycetota; Actinomycetes; Candidatus Nanopelagicales. The record is from RNAcentral.
CUGGCUGUAGCUCAGCGGAUAGAGCACCUUCUUGACGGAAAGGAUGGUCGUAGGUUCGAAUCCUACCAGCCAGACCA